UUUUCCGGUUGAUCCUGCCAGAGGUUACUGCUAUCGGUGUUCGCCUAAGCCAUGCGAGUCAUAUGUUCUUCGUGAACAUGGCGUACUGCUCAGUAACACGUGGAUAACCUGCCCUUGGGUCUGGGAUAACCCCGGGAAACUGGGGAUAAUACCGGAUAACGCAUAUAUGCUGGAAUGCUUUAUGCGUAAAAUGGAUUCGUCUGCCCAAGGAUGGGUCUGCGGCCUAUCAGGUAGUAGUGGGUGUAAUGUACCUACUAGCCUACAACGGGUACGGGUUGUGAGAGCAAGAGCCCGGAGAUGGAUUCUGAGACAUGAAUCCAGGCCCUACGGGGCGCAGCAGGCGCGAAAACUUUACAAUGCGGGAAACCGUGAUAAGGGGACACCGAGUGCCAGCAUCAUAUGCUGGCUGUCCAGAUGUGUAAAAUACAUCUGUUAGCAAGGGCCGGGCAAGACCGGUGCCAGCCGCCGCGGUAACACCGGCGGCCCGAGUGGUGAUCGUGAUUAUUGGGUCUAAAGGGUCCGUAGCCGGUUUGGUCAGUCCUCCGGGAAAUCUGAUGGCUCAACCAUUAGGCUUUCGGGGGAUACUGCCAGGCUUGGAACCGGGAGAGGUAAGAGGUACUACAGGGGUAGGAGUGAAAUCUUGUAAUCCCUGUGAGACCACCUGUGGCGAAGGCGUCUUACCAGAACGGGUUCGACGGUGAGGGACGAAAGCUGGGGGCACGAACCGGAUUAGAUACCCGGGUAGUCCCAGCCGUAAACGAUGCUCGCUAGGUGUCAGGCAUGGCGCGACCGUGUCUGGUGCCGCAGGGAAGCCGUGAAGCGAGCCACCUGGGAAGUACGGCCGCAAGGCUGAAACUUAAAGGAAUUGGCGGGA
Molecule: ribosomal RNA, 874 nt
Filed under: uncultured archaeon
Lineage: Archaea
Description: bacterial SSU rRNA
Rfam family: Archaeal small subunit ribosomal RNA
Source: RNAcentral